CCCAGGUCAGGUCGGACUACCCGCUGAGUUUAAGCAUAUCCAUAAGCUUAGCAAACAUCUUUAUUUUCAACUCCCUUAAAUUUCUUUCAUUUCUACCUUUUAUAUAUAAUUUAUCAUAACAUAAUAA
RNAcentral lists this ribosomal RNA (127 nucleotides) under Kalopanax septemlobus. RNAcentral's name for it is "partial 26S ribosomal RNA". Lineage: Eukaryota; Viridiplantae; Streptophyta; Magnoliopsida; Apiales; Araliaceae. The record is from RNAcentral.